GUUGUAGCAAGCCUAGGGUGGCUACUGUCUCACUUUUAUGGUGCUGGCAAACAUCACAUUCAGCAACAAAUUUCUUGAUAAAAUGUUUCAUACCUAUCCAUUAAAAAAGUUGUUGGACAUGCUUAUAAGUGCAGAGAAAUCCGGAAUUACUAGCAAUUGGUGAUGAAUGGAAUUCCUUCAGAAUUAUCUCCUAGCAAAAAGA
This 202-nucleotide long non-coding RNA is filed under the name Musa acuminata (dwarf banana). RNAcentral's name for it is "long non-coding RNA (MACU_LNC008576)". The record is from RNAcentral. Lineage: Eukaryota; Viridiplantae; Streptophyta; Magnoliopsida; Zingiberales; Musaceae.